CGGCAAUAGCUCAAAUUUGAAAUCUGGCACCUUCGGUGUCCGAGUUGUAAUUUGAAGAAGGUAUCUUUGGUUUUGGCUCUUGUCUAUGUUCCUUGGAACAGGACGUCACAGAGGGUGAGAAUCCCGUGCGAUGAGAUGCCCAAUUCCAUGUAAAGUUCCUUCGACGAGUCGAGUUGUUUGGGAAUGCAGCUCUAAGUGGGUGGUAAAUUCCAUCUAAAGCUAAAUAUUGGCGAGAGACCGAUAGCGAACAAGUACUGUGAAGGAAAGAUGAAAAGAACUUUGAAAAGAGAGUGAAAAAGUACGUGAAAUUGUUGAAAGGGAAGGGCUUGAGGUCAGACUUGGUUUUACCAGGCCAGCAUCAGUUUGGAUGGCAGGAUAAUAGCUUAGGAAAGUGGCACUGCUUCGGUAGUGUGUUAUAGCCUGGGUUGAUACUGCCUGUCUAGACUGAGGACUGCGUCUUUGACUAGGAUGCUGGCAUAAUGACCUUAAGCCGCCCGUCU
This 500-nucleotide ribosomal RNA is filed under the name Yamadazyma mexicana. Its description in RNAcentral is "eukaryotic LSU rRNA". It matches the Rfam family "Eukaryotic large subunit ribosomal RNA", at positions 99 to 654 of the family's 3401-position model. Lineage: Eukaryota; Fungi; Ascomycota; Pichiomycetes; Serinales; Debaryomycetaceae. The record is from RNAcentral.